This 73-nucleotide transfer RNA is filed under the name Neotoma lepida (desert woodrat). It matches the Rfam family "tRNA". Rfam says of the family: Transfer RNA (tRNA) molecules are approximately 80 nucleotides in length. Their secondary structure includes four short double-helical elements and three loops (D, anti-codon, and T loops). Lineage: Eukaryota; Metazoa; Chordata; Mammalia; Rodentia; Cricetidae. The record is from Rfam by way of RNAcentral.
UGGGAUAUAGCUCAAUUUAUAGAGUGUUUGCCUGGAAUGCAUGAAGCCUUGGAUUCAAUUCACAGUAUCACAU